RNAcentral lists this ribosomal RNA (503 nucleotides) under uncultured bacterium. RNAcentral describes it as "partial 16S ribosomal RNA". It matches the Rfam family "Bacterial small subunit ribosomal RNA", at positions 30 to 523 of the family's 1533-position model. The record is from RNAcentral.
AUUGAACGCUGGCGGCAGGCUUAACACAUGCAAGUCGAGCGGAGUGAUGGUGCUUGCACUAUCACUUAGCGGCGGACGGGUGAGUAAUGCUUAGGAAUCUGCCUAUUAGUGGGGGACAACAUCUCGAAAGGGAUGCUAAUGCCGCAUACGUCCUACGGGAGAAAGCAGGGGAUCACUUGUGACCUUGCGCUAAUAGAUGAGCCUAAGUCGGAUUAGCUAGUUGGUGGGGUAAAGGCCUACCAAGGCGACGAUCUGUAGCGGGUCUGAGAGGAUGAUCCGCCACACUGGGACUGAGACACGGCCCAGACUCCUACGGGAGGCAGCAGUGGGGAAUAUUGGACAAUGGGGGGAACCCUGAUCCAGCCAUGCCGCGUGUGUGAAGAAGGCCUUAUGGUUGUAAAGCACUUUAAGCGAGGAGGAGGCUCUUCUGGUUAAUACCCAAGAUGAGUGGACGUUACUCGCAGAAUAAGCACCGGCUAACUCUGUGCCAGCCGCCGCGGUAA